Molecule: ribosomal RNA, 467 nt
Filed under: uncultured bacterium
Lineage: Bacteria
Description: partial 16S ribosomal RNA
Rfam family: Bacterial small subunit ribosomal RNA (bases 20-332)
Source: RNAcentral
GACGAACGCUGGCGGCGUGCUUAACACAUGCAAGUCGAACGGAAAGGCCCUGCUUUUGUGGGGUGCUCGAGUGGCGAACGGGUGAGUAACACGUGAGUAACCUGCCCUUGACUUUGGGAUAACUUCAGGAAACUGGGGCUAAUACCGGAUAGGAGCUCCUGCUGCAUGGUGGGGGUUGGAAAGUUUCGGCGGUUGGGGAUGGACUCGCGGCUUACCAGCCUGUUGGUGGGGCAGGGGCUCACCAAGGCCUGGACGGGUAGCCGGCCUGGGAGGGUGACCGGCCGCAUGGGGACGGGGGGGCGGCCGGGGCGCGGAGGGGGGGGAGGGGGGGGGAGUGUGGGGGAAGGGGCGGAGGGGGGAGGGAGGGACGCCGGGUGGGGGAGGGCGGCGUUGGGGUGGGAAGCGGGUUUCGCGUGUGAGGAGGCGUGGGGGGGGGGAAUGGGGAAAGAGGGAGGGGGGAGCUGGGG